UACUUCCUCAAAGGUCUCAGCUCAGA
This 26-nucleotide non-coding RNA is filed under the name Rattus norvegicus (Norway rat). The record is from RNAcentral. Lineage: Eukaryota; Metazoa; Chordata; Mammalia; Rodentia; Muridae.